ACAAAAUUGGCAUGGCGGAGUUUCCCACUACCCGUGAAUGCCUCUUAUUUUAUGUCUCUGGCUGACUCCUGAAUCUCCUCCCACUCUCUGCUUGAUCCCUGCCGAGUGAACGAGAUCUUUGGUUUUGCCUUUGCUGACUGCUGAUCUGAUCGUCUCAAGUCUGGUGACCUGCUGCAGAAAACCCUCUCCCUCUAUCAUUAACAAGCAAUUCAGUCUGUCCUAUCACUCUCCCUCUCCCUGCUCCAUCUUUUUGACAAGCCAUUCUAUCUUCUAUCAUUUCUCCGCCAUGAGCUCUAUCUAAGUUGACAAGCUUGAACCUGAGUUGAAACGCAAUCCUGUGACUUGAAAUCAAGUUUUACCAGAAUCUAAGUUUUGGAAUUGAAGUUACCAGAACUUCGUCAAUCUGUUUUCAGAAUUCUGAGAGAUCUCCGCUCUCACUGCUCCAUCUUUCCUGUCGUUAAACUCUCUCACAUCCAGUCAUUUUGCUGGAAAUUACAAGUAAAAAGUUGAAUAUACAGUAAUAGAAUUACAGUACAGUAGAACUCACUGUAGAAACUACUUACAGAGCCCUACAUUUGUCAUUUUAAUUUUUUACAUUACACUUUGGAAUUAACACUGAUAGUUUGGCUUACGGGUGCUAUUACUUUGAUAAAUUAUAUAAAAUACACACCUUUUUCAAGGUUUAUUUGUAAUAAGAUAAUCUGGUUAUUUUGUAAUACAUACAUUCAGACUUAUAUUCACAUAAAUAAUAAAUUGG
Oreochromis aureus is the source of this 757-nucleotide long non-coding RNA. The record is from Ensembl. NCBI's taxonomy places the organism in Eukaryota, Metazoa, Chordata, Actinopteri, Cichliformes, Cichlidae.